This 468-nucleotide ribosomal RNA is filed under the name uncultured bacterium. RNAcentral's name for it is "partial 16S ribosomal RNA". It matches the Rfam family "Bacterial small subunit ribosomal RNA", at positions 28 to 507 of the family's 1533-position model. The record is from RNAcentral.
GACGAACGCUGGCGGCGUGCUUAACACAUGCAAGUCGAACGGAAAGGCCCUGCUUUUGUGGGGUGCUCGAGUGGCGAACGGGGGAGUAACACGUGAGUAACCUGCCCUUGACUUUGGGAUAACUUCAGGAAACUGGGGCUAAUACCGGAUAGGAGCUCCUGCUGCAUGGUGGGGGUUGGAAAGUUUCGGCGGUUGGGGAUGGACUCGCGGCUUAUCAGCUUGUUGGUGGGGUAGUGGCUUACCAAGGCUUUGACGGGUAGCCGGCCUGAGAGGGUGAACGGCCACAUUGGGCCUGAGAUACGGCCCAGACUCCUACGGGAGGCAGAAGUGGGGAAUAUUGCACAAUGGGCGGAAGUCUGAUGCAGCAACGCCGCGUGCGGGAUGACGGCCUUCGGGUUGUAAACCGCUUUCGCCUGUGACGAAGCGUGUGUGACGGUAAUGGGUAAAGAAGCACCGGCUAACUACGUG